This 484-nucleotide ribosomal RNA is filed under the name uncultured bacterium. RNAcentral describes it as "partial 16S ribosomal RNA". It matches the Rfam family "Bacterial small subunit ribosomal RNA", at positions 28 to 507 of the family's 1533-position model. The record is from RNAcentral.
AUUGAACGCUGGCGGCAUGCUUUACACAUGCAAGUCGAACGGCAGCGCGGGCUUCGGCCUGGCGGCGAGUGGCGAACGGGUGAGUAAUGCAUCGGAACGUGCCCAGUAGUGGGGGAUAGCCAGGCGAAAGCCGGAUUAAUACCGCAUACGACCUGAGGGUGCAAGCGGGGGAGCGAAAGGCCUCGCGCUAUUGGAGCGGCCGAUGUCGGUUUAGCUAGUUGGUGGGGUAAAGGCUUACCAAGGCGACGAUCCGUAGCUGGUCUGAGAGGACGACCAGCCACACUGGGACUGAGACACGGCCCAGACUCCUACGGGAGGCAGCAGUGGGGAAUUUUGGACAAUGGGGGCAACCCUGAUCCAGCCAUGCCGCGUGCGGGAAGAAGGCCUUCGGGUUGUAAACCGCUUUUGUUCGGGAAGAAAUCCUCUGGGCUAAUACCCCGGGGGGAUGACGGUACCGGAAGAAUAAGCACCGGCUAACUACGUG